RNAcentral lists this ribosomal RNA (253 nucleotides) under uncultured bacterium. RNAcentral describes it as "partial 16S ribosomal RNA". It matches the Rfam family "Bacterial small subunit ribosomal RNA", at positions 524 to 776 of the family's 1533-position model. The record is from RNAcentral.
GACAGAGGAUGCAAGCGUUAUCCGGAAUGAUUGGGCGUAAAGCGUUUGUAGGUGGCUCUUCAAGUCCGCCGUCAAAUCCCAGGGCUCAACCCUGGACAGGCGGUGGAAACUGCCAAGCUGGAGUACGGUAGGGGCAGAGGGAAUUUCCGGUGGAGCGGUGAAAUGCAUUGAGAUCGGAAAGAACACCAACGGCGAAAGCACUCUGCUGGGCCGACACUGACACUGAGAGACGAAAGCUAGGGGGGCAAAUGGG